GAAGAGCCGCUGCUUCCAGCUGUAGGACUUGCGAUCCUAGGGGAUGAGCUGUCUGGUCACUCCGCAGCUUGUGGAGUCCAACUCUUCACGCCUGCCCAGGCACAUAGCCUUCCCAGGAUCAACAAGGCCAUGUCAUAAAUCCGGGAACAUUCUGCAAAGGCCACCUGGAGUCCAGCACACAGUGACCAGCACACAGUGACCAACUGGACCAAGACCAAGGG
This is a long non-coding RNA of Tupaia belangeri chinensis (Chinese tree shrew), 221 nucleotides long. RefSeq lists it as uncharacterized. The transcript has 3 exons. The record is from RefSeq and is a predicted model, not a curated record. NCBI's taxonomy places the organism in Eukaryota, Metazoa, Chordata, Mammalia, Scandentia, Tupaiidae.